UACGUAGGGGGCAAGCGUUGUCCGGAAUCAUUGGGCGUAAAGAGCGCGUAGGCGGUCCGGUAAGUCCGCUGUGAAAGUCAAGGGCUCAACCCUUGAAUGCCGGUGGAUACUGUCGGGCUAGAGUCCGGAAGAGGCGAGUGGAAUUCCUGGUGUAGCGGUGAAAUGCGCAGAUAUCAGGAGGAACACCAAUGGCGAAGGCAGCUCGCUGGGACGGUACUGACGCUGAGGCGCGAAAGCGUGGGGAGCAAACAGG
RNAcentral lists this ribosomal RNA (253 nucleotides) under uncultured bacterium. Its description in RNAcentral is "partial 16S ribosomal RNA". It matches the Rfam family "Bacterial small subunit ribosomal RNA", at positions 524 to 776 of the family's 1533-position model. The record is from RNAcentral. RNAcentral also lists the same sequence under 1 other name.